This 757-nucleotide long non-coding RNA is filed under the name Hordeum vulgare. RNAcentral's name for it is "long non-coding RNA (HVUL_LNC019535)". The record is from RNAcentral. Lineage: Eukaryota; Viridiplantae; Streptophyta; Magnoliopsida; Poales; Poaceae.
GUUAUCAUAAUUGUCAUCAUAUCGUUUUUGUAGGAAACCUUGAAAUUUGGUGAAUCAAAAAUCGCAGAUUUCAAGAAAGUUGUUGAACUAGGACAACUCGCCCGAGCGGAACUUGAAGAAAGACUUCGUCUAUCUUUGGAACAAACUGAGAAAAUCAAGGUUGGGUUUGUGGUAGAAAGAGAGUCUUUUGAAAACGAAAAAGCCACCUUAAUAAAAUGCUACACUGUUGCUAAAAGUAAGUUGAAAGUCGUCUCAGAAGAGUUGUCCAAGAUUAAAAAGCAUAUCAACGAGAUGAAUCACGCUAUCUUUGGUGAGUGCUCAUGGAGCUUUUCAACUUUUUGUUUCCUGACAAUGAUCGAUACUAUGGUGCCUUAUGUGUUUUUAUACCUUUGCUGGUCGUCGUACACACAAUCUUCAGGACAAUUGCUUGUGGAAGCUCAAUGUUGUGAAUAUUCCGAAUGAGCAGCUAUAUACCGGGAGUUUGUGUGCCAUAAAAGUUGUUGCUGGGAAUAAAGAGGCGGUCACACUUAUAAAAUAUGUCCUCGCGUUCCUUUCCACGAUCCCAAGGCAGAUUGGAGAGCUCAAAAGAUUAGCUGCCCGUGCUGGAGCCACUUAUACUUUGAGUUGUGCUCUGGCUUACUCAUGUGAGCUUGACCCGGCAGGAAUGUUGAAAGGAUUCCUAGAACUGAAGGCUGAUGGCUCACCUUUCGAACAAGAUGACUAUCGUUAGAGCGUCUCAGUAGCCCGGACAUUGGCC